CUCUCUUUUGCUUUACUCUCAUCUCAGGUACAUGUCAAUUAUUUUGAAUAAAAAUAAAAAUUAAUUAUAUUAUUAUUGUAAUAAUAAUUAUAUAUAUAAAAGAAAGAAACGUUCGGCCAACCCCAAAGAUUUUUUUGUAAUUAUUGUUUUCUCUACUAAUUUUUGUAUUAUAAUUUUUCUUUGUUUUCUUCGUUCUUAUCUCCGUGCAUCUUAAAAAUAAUUUUUUUUUCUUGUAUUUUUUUACUCUAUGAAUUUUUUUAAUUAUUAUUAUUUUCUUUAUUGAUUGAUUCAUUUGUUUAACAGUAUCACUAAUAAAUUUUGUUAUUAAUUAUUAUAGUAUAAUGUAUCUUUAUUAUAAUUGUUAUUUUCACGUAUUAAAUUAAUUAUUUUCGCACUAGUAAAUAAUAGUAAUAAAUAUAAUUAUUUAUUAUUAAUAAUAAUAAAUUGUUUAUUGCAGGUAGUAGGGGAGAAAAAUGCGAGGUGACUAUAGAACAAUGCAGUUUGGAAAAUAAAGAAUGUGAUUCAAAGUGCUUAGCUUACAUCACACCAGACAAUUUUUUAGGUUCGGAAUGUUUCUUAGCGCCACGUCACACCGACGAUAUACUAUUGUAGAUGCUUCUACAAUAUGUGCUGGCACUAGUGUUUGAUUUGAUGAUGGAUCAUUAAUUUCAUAUGAC
This 677-nucleotide long non-coding RNA is filed under the name Erythranthe guttata (spotted monkey flower). RNAcentral's name for it is "long non-coding RNA (EGUT_LNC002600)". The record is from RNAcentral. Lineage: Eukaryota; Viridiplantae; Streptophyta; Magnoliopsida; Lamiales; Phrymaceae.